Long non-coding RNA from Sinocyclocheilus rhinocerous, 488 nucleotides. RefSeq lists it as uncharacterized. NCBI's taxonomy places the organism in Eukaryota, Metazoa, Chordata, Actinopteri, Cypriniformes, Cyprinidae. The transcript has 4 exons. The record is from RefSeq and is a predicted model, not a curated record.
GCUAAACUCUGCAGCACAAUGGGCCUCCAGGGCAAGAUUUGAGGGACCCUGCUGUAUGCCUGUAUGUCGUCGAGAGUGUGACGUGAUGUACAAGGACAACAGUCUACGUAAGACAUGAAGUACAUGGACAACAGUCUACAUUGUGAAGCAUGCGAAAUGAAGAUGAUAGUAAAAAUGGGCUACGACCAUGAGGACAGUGGCAGUGGUAAUGCAGGAGGCGGAGCUUCACCUCCUCUGUUGUAACAGUGCUGGACUUUGGCUUCUGAGGGUGCAGCUCAGGUGGCAUGUUGAACAUGAAGAGUGAGCUUCCAGACAGUCAGAAAGAUGGCUUAUACUACAUAUCAUUUAUUAUCUCUCGUUAACUUUUAACAUACUCUAAGGAUAUUAUUAAGAGCCAGUGUUUAUACAUUAUUUUUAUCAUACAUUUUCAGCUAUACUAUUUACAACAGGUCAACCUGUUUUUCACAAGUUAACAAAAAAGCUAUUGC